CUCUCUCACCCACCCCUUCCAGUUCCCACCCCUUCCAGUUCCCACCCCUCCCCCAAAGGAAAACUGAAGAGACCCGCAAAUCUCUCCGCUGCCCGCGCUGGUUCGAUCCGAUCUCCGGAUUCCGUGCAGCUCGCCCCCAUUCCCGCUGCUACACCGCUUUUACGCAGUCCAGUCCCCUGGUUUGGGCUUCGGAGAUCGCUGUGGCACCCAAGCUCGUAACCAGCAAGCAGGAGUGCAGGAGCCCUCGUCGCUGCACGCCACGCGAGCGCCGUUGAUUUAUGUCGACUGCUCUGCUGCUGCUCCAUGGUUCUGAGCUCCCGACAUCAUCAGCCGCGAAUCGCUCCCUUCUCCUCCAUCCUUGGCAGAGGGGCGCUAGAGGCUACAGGUUUCGCUUUAGCAUCUCGCGGUAAGUUUAUUUUCCUACGGGAUUGGUUGGCUAACACCAAAAUUUCCUGCUCUGUUUCAGUACAAUAUGCUCCUAGUACUGGUGUUGUGCUCUUUGAUAAUACAGUAAUAACUUAACAGCCUUGGCUUCUUGUGUUUAUUUAAUGUAAGCGACAAGUUUUCCUGCCCCCCCCCCCCCCCCCCCACACACACACACAAAAAAAAGAACCAAUGUCAUCUUGUCAUCUUCCGGUUGUAAAUAUAAAUAUGCAGCUUGCCAUGAUUCAGUUGAUAAAUUAUUUCCGUGUCAUGGAAUAACUUUGUGCUUCUUUAGUAUGUAAAUUAAUUUUGUACAUUACCAAAGUUGGAGACAACCAAUUUACGCAGUAUGUUGACCAGAUUUCGAUGUUGGGCCGCAUUAAAACUGAUCUUCCGCUUCAAUGUGCAUAGAAGUCAUCUCACUAGGUUAGAUAUUCAUAUCUAUUUGAUCCGUAAUGUGUCAGUUACCUAUUCUUGUUUGCAUGUUAGUUUGGUCUAUAUGAAUUUGGAAAGUUUCCUAUUGUAAUGUAUAAUGUUUCAGAUUUGGAUUUAGGGUGAAGUACUCUGGAUUUCUUCAUUUAGACCCUUUCUUCCUACUUUGCUGCACCUGAGGCAGUAAAUGUUUAGGAGUCCCCCAUAUCACAAUAAGUGUAGGUUUGGUUUCUGUGGAUUGACUUCAGCACGCCUCCCUCUUUAAGUUCAAUCAGUCAGCCAGAUUUCCAAUUUCUGAGUUCUGUUCAAGGAAGGAAUCAAAUAUUCUUUCCUUCAGUUUUGAUCUGAAGCGUGAGAGAAUCCUGCUGAUUCGGAAGAUUAUGUGCUGCAUUUGUUGCACAGACCAGGAGUCUUUAUCCCAGUUUUGUCUGAACAUUUACUUGUUAAGGCGAUCUGAAAGUUGUGCUACAAGAUGAUGCCUUGCAUGAAGAAGGUCCGCAUUUUCUGCUCUGAUCCUGAUGCUACGGACUCUUCUGGUGAUGAAGAAGGCCAGAACACCAAGGUAAAGAAAAUGGUAAGAGAGGUGCUGAUUCCAGUGAAUAACUCGAAGACCUCUAAAUGUGUGAAGACCCUUGUGCCAUGUGGAACAAAGGAUCUAGAGGUUUCAAAGAAGAAGGAGAAAUCAAGUAGGUUUUGUGGUGUGCGCAAGCGGCCCUGGGGUCGAUGGGCAGCUGAGAUCCGCGAUCCUGUGAAAAAAACCCGGAAGUCGAUCGGCUCAUAUGACUCUGAGGAGGCUGCUGCUGCAGCAUAUCAGGCAUAUGCAAACCAGAUCCGUGAAGAGCUGUUAGCCAUAAAAGCUCAACAGUUUGUAUCAGAACAUGCAGAUAUGUCAAGCUCAUCCUCGGUGUCUUGUGUAUCUUCAUCUGGCUGUGAGCAGACAGUACAAGUGCAGAAGGGAGUGUUCAUGGAGAUAGACCCUGAGCCUCUGGAUGAAGUAUUACUAAACUUCUCCACACCUAAGGAGAUUUCAAUGGAUGUCUUGCUAGGACGGAUAGAUGAGAUUUCUGUCAGUGAUUCUAUCAGCCUAGCCAAUGAACUUCCACAUGAUGAUUUCACUAGGAUUGAAGAUGCCUUUCCAAUCAGUGAUUUUAUCGGAGCAACACACAAGCCUCUCGAUGAAGACUAUAUUGGCCUGGCUAACAUUAGCCACCUGCCUCUUCCAAUGAAAGACCCGGCAUUCAAUCUGGAUGCAGAGCUUGAUUGGAGUGGGUUUGACUUUGAUACAAUCGAACAUGAGCUUCAGGUCCUUUGAGGGCGUGUCAGAGAUGUGUUAUACUGAAACCCACACCUGAUUGUGUCCUAUUCAGUGAAAAGCUGCUAUUCUAGUUUUCUAAGUUGUCUGAGAUUCUGAGUACAAUAACGAAUUCAGGUCAUCUAUCCAUGGAGGAGCUCAUGCUGAUAACAUGCAACUGCAGCUGCAUAAUUUGGACAAAAGUAACUUUAUUCUUAAAAUGAUAAUCAAUCAUAUUCAGAAAGCUGGGUAAAACAAUUGAUCAUAUUAUUAUAAUAAAGAGUUAGGUAUUAGUAUUUGUUGUCCUAUAUGUUGGGGAGCAUAUCCUCUCCACAUGAGAACUGUCUUUGUAUUGGACAUACAAGAGGAAUCUGAAAGUUGGAGUUUGUACUGUAUUUGUAAUAAGAACUGUGCAUCGGCAACACCACACACUAGAAGUGCAGCGUACAUGGUACUGUAUCAAGUAAAGUAUGUACUGGAGCAAGAAAUUUAUCAAGGCGCAUUCUGAAUAUCACUGCACACUGCUGCUAUGAACUUGUAUGCAAAUUUUGUCACUAUGGAGUAUGGACAACGACAAAAGUUCUAGUAUCAGCAUUGGUCACCCUCGUGUCAAUAAUGUUUCCUUUGAUUCUUAAAAGGCAAUCCUACAAUUCAAUGUUACUUGAGGUCGUUUGGCACCUCAGUUGGUAA
This is an RNA transcript of Panicum virgatum (switchgrass), 2836 nucleotides long. It is a transcript of the gene named ethylene-responsive transcription factor ERF118-like, with no coding region annotated. The transcript has 5 exons. The record is from RefSeq and is a predicted model, not a curated record. Lineage: Eukaryota; Viridiplantae; Streptophyta; Magnoliopsida; Poales; Poaceae.